AGAGUUUGAUCAUGGCUCAGGAUAAACGCUGGCGGCGCACAUAAGACAUGCAAGUCGAACGGACUUAACCAUUAGUUUACUAUUGGAGCGGUUAGUGGCGGACUGGUGAGUAACACGUAAGCAACCUGCCUGUUAGAGGGGAACAACAGUUAGAAAUGACUGCUAAUACCGCAUAUGCCUUGAGUAUCGCAUGGUACAAGAGGGAAAGGAGCAAUCCGCUAACAGAUGGGCUUGCGUCUGAUUAGAUAGUUGGUGUGGUAACGGCAUACCAAGGCGACGAUUGGUAGCCGG
This 291-nucleotide ribosomal RNA is filed under the name uncultured bacterium. RNAcentral describes it as "partial 16S ribosomal RNA". It matches the Rfam family "Bacterial small subunit ribosomal RNA", at positions 8 to 290 of the family's 1533-position model. The record is from RNAcentral.